AUGAUAGGGUUUCAGACUGAGAAACUGAGCCAAGAAAAGGCCAUUGCAGAUGCAGACGAGCUAAAGGUGUAUUGUGAGAGAGAACCAAAAUAUUGUGUGCUGGCUCAGGCUAACACUGAAUUAGCAGCAGCUACAGGAAAACUAGAAGUCAGCAGGAAAAAGUUUCUUGAAGCUAUAUGGCUGAGAGAUGCAGUUGCUCUGGUGGUUAGUGCCUGGUUUCCUACCUGUGAAAUGUUAGAGGAUGGUGAGAAGCUGAGUUCCUUAGAAAAGUUCAGUAGAUGGAAUGAAGUGUGCAGACUGGUGAGUACAGGAUGCCUUCCUGUCUUUGCUCUCUGGGCUCAUCCUUUUUGUCCACCUAAACAUGUACAACAUGGUCAACAGUGAAUAAAUUUCUCUGCAGAUUUUCAUCCCUGUUAAAUGAUCCUGAACUGCACUGUUGAAUGUUACAUUUAAAAUCAGCUCAGCUUCCUCAGCUGGAAACUUGCAUUAAUC
This 492-nucleotide long non-coding RNA is filed under the name Parus major (Great Tit). Its description in RNAcentral is "lncRNA (ENSPMJG00000000318.1)". Lineage: Eukaryota; Metazoa; Chordata; Aves; Passeriformes; Paridae. The record is from RNAcentral.